Molecule: long non-coding RNA, 1701 nt
Filed under: Piliocolobus tephrosceles (Ugandan red Colobus)
Lineage: Eukaryota; Metazoa; Chordata; Mammalia; Primates; Cercopithecidae
Description: lncRNA (ENSPTEG00000029394.1)
Source: RNAcentral
AUGUAUUCGAAAAAAGGGACAAAAGUAAACAAAAUUAUCGAAGAAAAUGUAUUACUUCAUAACAGUUCAAACAUAUUUGAUAAUAAUAUUAUGUCCGAUAAUAAAAUUAUUACUACCACUACUAAUACUACUACCGCAUAUAACAAUAAUCAUAACAAUAAUUUAUUAACUGGAUACAGUUACGACGAUGUUCAAAAUUUAAAUAAAUACGAUAAUUCUAAUAAUUUAACAUAUAACAAACAAUUAACCGAUAUAUCAAAUAAAGAAAAUAUAACUUCAUAUAGGAAUGUAUAUAAUACCGAUUAUUUUUCCGAUCAACAAAAAAAAAAUCUAAUGCAAUUGACUUCCCAAGGCGUAAUUCAUAGUUAUAACAAUGGCAUACCAAUCAUGCAUAAUAAUAGUAGUAGUAAUAAUAGUGGCAGUAGUAGUAGUAAUAAUAGUGGCAGUAGUAGUAGUAGUAAUAGUAGUAGUAGUAGUAGUAGUAGUAGUAGUGGUAGUAGUAGUAAUAAUAAUAAUAAUAGUGGCAGUAGUAGUAAUAAUAAUAAUGGCAGUAGUAGUAAUAAUAAUAGUGGCAGUAGUAGUAGUAAUAAUAAUGGCAGUAGUAGUAAUAAUAAUAAUGGCAAUAGUAGUAAUAAUAAUAAUGGCAGUAGUAGUAAUACAAACGUUUUGAAUAAAAUUUGUUAUGAUCCUUAUGAAAGUACUGCAGGUGAACAACCUAUCGUUCCAUAUACAACGGAAAGAAAAAAUGAAAAUUAUAAUCAAACGGAUGUACAAGUAGGUCAAUUUGAUUAUCCCAUAAAUAAUAGUACUGCAACUUCAUGUAAAAUAAAUCCACAAAUAAAAAAAAACUAUACUUGCUUAAAUAAUAUAUCAGAUAAUGAUAAAUGUGCAUAUAUAAGAGAGACGAAUGCAGAUUAUAACACAACAAAACAAAUAUAUUUUAUUCCAAAUAAUUUUAAUACUUGUAUGAAAUAUGACCAAUCUAGUAAUAUAAUUAAUAAUUUAAUACCUAUAAAACAAGUAGAGUAUAAUUCAAAUAAAGAAACAUAUACUGUAUAUUCAACUAAGGAAAAUAAUUUAUAUGAAAAUUUAAAUGAUAAUAAUUUGAAAAACGAUACAGGAAGAGGUUUAAAAGGUUUACUUCAACACAAUGGACACGAUAAAAGUACAUCAUACAUGUUGAAUAAAACACAUGUGUAUAAAGGAGAUGUCGAACAUAAUACCCAUGAAAAAUAUAACUAUUAUGUUGGUAAUAUAAAGGGUAAAGAAAGUAGAGAGAGUAGAGAAAAUAGUGAUAACAACAAAAAUAACAAUGGUGUAACUUAUAUACCAACAAAUUAUAUAAACGAAAUAAAUUAUACAAAAUAUAAUAAAACAAUUGAAAAUAUAAAUGAAAAUUUAAGUGAAAACAUAAAUGAAAAUAUAAAUGGAAAUAUAAAUACUACUAAACAAAUUUCAAUGUUUCAACAAGCGAAUAUUGUAACUGCUUCCCCUCCUAAUAAAAAUCUCAACUUCCAUACUUUUCAUAAUGAUUUGAUUAAUAAAACAAAUAAUAAUAAUAAUAAUAAUAAUAAUAAUAAUAAUAAUAAUAAUAANNNNNNNNNNAUAAUAAUAAUAAUAAUAAUAAUAAUAAUAAUAAUAAUAAUAAUAAUUAUGUUAAAAAUUCUGAAUCGUCAGCAGAAAAAAAAAAAAAUGAAAUGA